Molecule: ribosomal RNA, 253 nt
Filed under: uncultured bacterium
Lineage: Bacteria
Description: partial 16S ribosomal RNA
Rfam family: Bacterial small subunit ribosomal RNA
Source: RNAcentral
UACGUAGGGGGCAAGCGUUGUCCGGAUUUAUUGGGCGUAAAGAGCUCGUAGGCGGCUUGUUGCGUCGUCCGUGAAAACCUGUGGCUCAACUACAGGCUUGCGGUCGAUACGGGCGGGCUGGAGUUCGGUAGGGGAGACUGGAAUUCCUGGUGUAGCGGUGAAAUGCGCAGAUAUCAGGAGGAACACCGGUGGCGAAGGCGGGUCUCUGGGCCGAUACUGACGCUGAGGAGCGAAAGCGAGGGGAGCAAACGGG